RNAcentral lists this transfer RNA (67 nucleotides) under Marmota monax (woodchuck). It matches the Rfam family "tRNA". From Rfam's summary of the family: Transfer RNA (tRNA) molecules are approximately 80 nucleotides in length. Their secondary structure includes four short double-helical elements and three loops (D, anti-codon, and T loops). Lineage: Eukaryota; Metazoa; Chordata; Mammalia; Rodentia; Sciuridae. The record is from Rfam by way of RNAcentral.
GCAGAGCUCAGUGGUAGAGUGUUUGCCUGGCAUGCACAAAGUCCUGGGUUCAGACCCCAGCAUUGCA